Molecule: ribosomal RNA, 251 nt
Filed under: uncultured bacterium
Lineage: Bacteria
Description: partial 16S ribosomal RNA
Rfam family: Bacterial small subunit ribosomal RNA
Source: RNAcentral
GUCCUGGCUCAGGAUGAACGCUAGCUACAGGCUUAACACAUGCAAGUCGAGGGGCAGCGGGAAGUCAGCUUGCUGACUUUGCCGGCGACCGGCGCACGGGUGAGUAACACGUAUCCAACCUUCCCGUUACUCUGGAAUAGCCUUUCGAAAGAAAGAUUAAUACCGGAUAGUAUCGAGAGAUUGCAUGAUUACCCGAUUAAAGAUUCAUCGGUAACGGAUGGGGAUGCGUUCCAUUAGGCAGUUGGCGGGGG